AAUAGAUACCCUGGUAGUCCAUGCCGUAAACGAUGUCUACUAGCCGUUGGGGCCUUUGAGGCUUUAGUGGCGCAGCUAACGCGAUAAGUAGACCGCCUGGGGGAGUACGGUCGCAAGAACUAAAACUACAAAUGAAUUGGACGGGGGCCCGCACAAGCGGUGGAGCAUGUGGUUUAAUUCGAUGCAACGCGAAGAACCCUUACCUGGUCUUGACAUAGUAAGAACUUUCCAGAGAUGGAUUGGUGCCUUCGGGAACUUACAUACAGGUGCUGCAUGGCUGUCGUCAGCUCGUGUCGUGAGAUGUUGGGUUAAGUCCCGCAACGAGCGCAACCCUUUUCCUUAUUUGCCAGCACUUCGGGUGGGAACUUUAAGGAUACUGCCAGUGACAAACUGGAGGAAGGCGGGGACGACGUCAAGUCAUCAUGGCCCUUACGACCAGGGCUACACACGUGCUACAAUGGUCGGUACAAAGGGUUGCUACCUAGCGAUAGGAUGCCAAUCUCGAAAAAGCCGAUCGUAAGUUCCGGAUUGGAGUCUGC
RNAcentral lists this ribosomal RNA (539 nucleotides) under uncultured bacterium. RNAcentral describes it as "bacterial SSU rRNA". It matches the Rfam family "Bacterial small subunit ribosomal RNA", at positions 777 to 1308 of the family's 1533-position model. The record is from RNAcentral.